RNAcentral lists this ribosomal RNA (253 nucleotides) under uncultured bacterium. RNAcentral's name for it is "partial 16S ribosomal RNA". It matches the Rfam family "Bacterial small subunit ribosomal RNA", at positions 524 to 776 of the family's 1533-position model. The record is from RNAcentral.
UACGAAGGGGGCUAGCGUUGUUCGGAAUUACUGGGCGUAAAGCGCGCGCAGGCGGUCUUUCAAGUCAGUGGUGAAAGCCUGGAGCUCAACUCCAGAACUGCCAUUGAAACUGCAAGACUUGAGUACGAGAGAGGUGAGUGGAAUUCCCAGUGUAGAGGUGAAAUGCGCAGAUAUCAGGAAGAACACCCGUGGCGAAGGCGGUUCUCUGGGACGGUACUGACGCUGAGACGCGAAAGCCAGGGGAGCAAACGGG